RNAcentral lists this ribosomal RNA (253 nucleotides) under uncultured bacterium. RNAcentral's name for it is "partial 16S ribosomal RNA". It matches the Rfam family "Bacterial small subunit ribosomal RNA", at positions 524 to 776 of the family's 1533-position model. The record is from RNAcentral.
GACGUAGGAUGCAAGCGUUAUUCGGAUUUAUUGGGCGUAAAGCGUGCGUAGGCGGCUGUUUAAGUCUGGUGUUAAAGCUAGGGGCUCAACCCCUGUGGUGCAUCGGAUACUGGGCAGCUUGAGUGCGGUAGGGGAAGGUGGAAUUCCGAGUGUAGCGGUGAAAUGCGUAGAUAUUCGGAAGAACACCGGUGGCGAAGGCGACCUUCUGGGCCGCAACUGACGCUGAGGCACGAAAGCUUGGGGAGCGAACGGG